Molecule: long non-coding RNA, 1432 nt
Filed under: Macaca mulatta (Rhesus monkey)
Lineage: Eukaryota; Metazoa; Chordata; Mammalia; Primates; Cercopithecidae
Description: lncRNA (ENSMMUG00000057569.1)
Source: RNAcentral
CACCUGUCCUUCCUAGGGACUUCGGGCUGAAAAUGUCACCUCUCGCACCGUUAAUCCAAGCCCUGCAGGGCUGUUAGGAAGGGAAUUAGCAGCUGGGAUACCCCCAUCCUACAAUGAGGGGGGUUUAGCAAACCCUCCUGAAAUCCCAAGGCCACAGCUUCCUGCAGACGCUUAAGGAACAUGCCAAAUGCAACUGAUCUCCUGAAAAAUGCAAGCACUGCUGGUGAGGGCUGGGGUUCCGGGACGCUUUGCACACCACAGGUCACAGUUUGUGGGGGAGCUUCUCUGGGACCGGCUGACUCUUACCGUCCCCUGGACCCAGGCGGGCGCCGCUCGCAUCCUCCUGGCAGCAUUCGGAACCCUCACGGCUGGACUCGAGGCCCAAGGCAGACAUGGGGACCCCUGGGAGGCGUCCGGGACCCCCAGGACAGGAUUCCAGCCCCCCGGCCAGACGUGGGGACUCCUGGGCGGUGUCCAGGACGCCUGGGGCUGGACCCAAGCCCCCAAGGCUAGAUGUGGGGGACCCCCAGGGCUGGACUCAAGCCCCCAAGGCAGACGAGGGGACCCACCUGGGCGGCGCCCGGGACCCCCCCAGAGCAGGUCCCCAGCCCCAGAGCAGAGGUGGGGACUCCUGGGCGGCGUCCGGGACCCCCAGAGCAGGUCUCCAGCCCCCAGAACAGAGGUGGGGACUCCUGGGCGGCGUCCGGGACCCCCAGAGCAGGUCUCCAGCCCCCAGAGCAGAGGUGGGGACUCCUGGGCGGCGUCCGGGAACCCCAGAGCAGGUCUCCAGCCCCCAGAACAGAGGUGGGGACUCCUGGGCGGCGUCCGGGACCCCCAGAGCAGGUCUCCAGCCCCCAGAACAGAGGUGGGGACUCCUGGGCGGCGUCCGGGACCCCCAGAGCAGGUCUCCAGCCCCCAAGGCAGAUGUGGGGACCCACCUGGGCGGUGUCUGGGACUCCCACGGGGGAACGCCAGUCUCCAAGGCAGACGUGAGGACCCCCGGGCGGCGUCCGGGACCCCCAGGGCUGCACUCGAGCCCCCAAAGCAGACAUGGGGCUCCCUGGGUGGCGUCCGGGACCCCCAGGGCUGGACUCAUGCCCCCAGGGCAGACGUGGGGACUCCUGGGCGGCGUCCGGGACCCCCACGGCGGCACUCCAGGCUCCAGAGCAGACGUAGAGACCCCCGGGCGGUGUCUGGGACCCCCAGGGCUGGACUCGAGCCCCCAAGGCAGACGUGGGGACCCCGGAGCGGCGUUCGGGAUUCCCGGAGAUUGAAGUCAAGCCCCCGAGGCGGCGUUCCGCACCCUCGCAAUCAGACUUGGACUCUACCCAGCGCGGAACGGGGUAGGACGGGAGCGGGAACGAGGCGGGUGAGGGCAGCGCCGCCGGGGCUGGGGGUCCUGGCGCCUACACGGCCGGCGGCUGCACCGGGC